RNAcentral lists this ribosomal RNA (405 nucleotides) under uncultured bacterium. RNAcentral describes it as "partial 16S ribosomal RNA". It matches the Rfam family "Bacterial small subunit ribosomal RNA", at positions 30 to 526 of the family's 1533-position model. The record is from RNAcentral.
AUUGAACGCUGGCGGCAGGCUUAACACAUGCAAGUCGAACGAGUGGCGGACGGGUGAGUAAUGCUUGGGAAUCUAGCUUAUGGAGGGGGAUAACUACGUGAAACUGUAGCUAAUACCGCGUACCAUCGGAUGCGCCCAAGGGGGAUUAGGUAGUUGGUGAGGUAAAGGCGCACAAAGCCGACGAUCUCUCGCUGGUCUGAGAGGAUGACCAGCAACACGGGGACUGAGACACGGCCCAGACUCUGCCGGGAGGCAGCAGUGGUGAAUAUUGCGCAAUGGGGGCAACCUGACGCAGCCAUGCCGCGUGAAUGAAGAAGGCCUUAGGGUUGUAAAGUGCUUUCGGUAGCGAGGCGUUAACUACAGAAGAAGCACCUGCUAACUCCGUGCCAGCAGCCGCGGUAAUAC